Molecule: ribosomal RNA, 468 nt
Filed under: uncultured bacterium
Lineage: Bacteria
Description: partial 16S ribosomal RNA
Rfam family: Bacterial small subunit ribosomal RNA
Source: RNAcentral
GACGAACGCUGGCGGCGUGCUUAACACAUGCGAGUCGAACGGAAAGGCCCUGCUUUUGUGGGGUGCUCGAGUGGCGAACGGGUGAGUAACACGUGAGUAACCUGCCCUUGACUUUGGGAUAACUUCAGGAAACUGGGGCUAAUACCGGAUAGGAGCUCCUGCUGCAUGGUGGGCGUUGGAAAGUUUCGGCGGUUGGGGAUGGACUCGCGGCUUAUCAGCUUGUUGGUGGGGUAGUGGCUUACCAAGGCUUUGACGGGUAGCCGGCCUGGGAGGGGGACCGGCCACAUUAGGACUGAGAUACGGCCCAGACCCGUAUGGGAGGCAGCAGUGGGGAAUAGUGCACAAUGGGCGGGAGCAUGAUGUAACAACGCCGCGUGCGGGAAGACGGGCUUCGGGUUGUGAACCGCUUUCGCCUGUGACGAAGCGUGAGUGACGGUAAUGGGUAAAGAAGCACCGGCUAACUACGUG